Molecule: ribosomal RNA, 253 nt
Filed under: uncultured bacterium
Lineage: Bacteria
Description: partial 16S ribosomal RNA
Rfam family: Bacterial small subunit ribosomal RNA
Source: RNAcentral
UACAGAGGGGGCAAGCGUUAUUCGGAAUUAUUGGGCGUAAAGGGCGCGUAGGCGGCUUGGCAAGUGGAUGGUGAAAUCCCUCGGCUUAACCGAGGAACUGCCGUCCAAACUGCUUUGCUUGAGACCGGGAGAGGUGAGUGGAAUUCCCAGUGUAGCGGUGAAAUGCGUAGAUAUUGGGAGGAACACCAGUGGCGAAGGCGGCUCACUGGACCGGUACUGACGCUGAUGCGCGAAAGCGUGGGGAGCAAACGGG